RNAcentral lists this ribosomal RNA (503 nucleotides) under uncultured Glomus. RNAcentral's name for it is "SSU rRNA". It matches the Rfam family "Eukaryotic small subunit ribosomal RNA", at positions 569 to 1074 of the family's 1831-position model. The record is from RNAcentral. Lineage: Eukaryota; Fungi; Glomeromycota; Glomeromycetes; Glomerales; Glomeraceae.
AGCAGCCGCGGUAAUUCCAGCUCCAAUAGCGUAUAUUAAAGUUGUUGCAGUUAAAAAGCUCGUAGUUGAAUUUCGGGGUUAGUAGGUUGGUCAUGCCUCUGGUAUGUACUGGGCUCACUGAUUCCUCCUUCCUGAUGAACUGUAAUGCCAUUAAUUUGGUGUUGCAGGGAAACUGGACUGUUACUUUGAAAAAAUUAGAGUGUUUAAAGCAAGCUAACGCUUGAAUACAUUAGCAUGGAAUAAUGAAAUAGGACGUUCGAUCCUAUUUCGUUGGUUUCUAGGAUUGACGUAAUGAUUAAUAGGGAUAGUUGGGGGCAUUAGUAUUCAAUUGUCAGAGGUGAAAUUCUUGGAUUUAUUGAAGACUAACUACUGCGAAAGCAUUUGCCAAGGAUGUUUUCAUUAAUCAAGAACGAAAGUUAGGGGAUCGAAGACGAUCAGAUACCGUCGUAGUCUUAACCAUAAACUAUGCCGACUAGGGAUCGGAUGAUGUUAAUUUUUAAUGA